GAUGAACGCUGGCGGCGUGCCUAAUACAUGCAAGUCGUACGGAAAGGCCCUUCGGGGUACUCGAGUGGCGGACGGCUGAGUAACGCGUGGGAACGUGCCCCGAAGUGAGGGAUAACGCACCGAAAGGUGUGCUAAUACCGCAUAUGGUCUUCGGAUUAAAGCUUCGGCGCUUUGGGAGCGGCCCGCGUACGAUUAGAUAGUUGGUGAGGUAAUGGCUCACCAAGUGGACGAUCGUUAGCUGGUCUGAGAGGAUGAUCAGCCAGACUGGGACUGAGACACGGCCCAGACUCCUACGGGAGGCAGCAGUAAGGAAUCUUCCACAAUGGGGGCAAACCUGAUGGAGCAACGCCGCGUGCAGGAUGAAGGUUUUCGGAUCGUAAACUGCUUUUAUAAGUGAAGAAUAUGACGGUAACUUAUGAAUAAGGAUCGGCUAACUACGUGCCAGCCGCCGCAGUAA
RNAcentral lists this ribosomal RNA (457 nucleotides) under uncultured bacterium. RNAcentral describes it as "partial 16S ribosomal RNA". It matches the Rfam family "Bacterial small subunit ribosomal RNA", at positions 28 to 523 of the family's 1533-position model. The record is from RNAcentral.